UCAGAGCUGGGAGGAACAUGGGGCUGGGACCCCCAGCAUGGGUUCGUUAGGCGUAACGAGCUCAUUAAGAGCAGUGCCAGGGGCUCUGGGCUCCCCUCCAUCCCCCUCCAAUGGAACCAGGCCCAGGGGGCGACCCCAGCUGGGCUCAGAGCUGGGAGGAACAGGGGGCUGGGACCCCCAGCGUGGGUUCGUUAGGCGUAACGAGCUCAUUAAGAGCAGUGCAAGGGGCUCUGGGCUUCCCUCCAUCAUCAGCCAUGGGCUCUGGGCUCCCCUCCAUCCCCUUCCAAUGGAACCAGGCCCAGGGGGUGACCCCAGGUGGGCUCAGAGCUGGGAGGAACACGGGGCUGGGACCCCCAGCCUGGGGUCGUUAGGCAUAACGAGCUCAUUAACAGCACUGCAUGGGCUCUGGGCUCUCCUCCAUCAUCAGCCAUGGGGUCCAUCCCCUUCCAAUGGAACCAGGCCCACGGUGUGACCCCAGGUGGGCUCACAGCUGGGAAGAACACGGGUCUGGGACACCCAUCGCGGGGUCGUUAGGCAUAACGAGCUCAUUAACAGCACUGUGUGGUGUCUGGACUCCCCUCCAUCAUCAACCAUGGGGUCAGGGCUCCCCUCCAUCCCCUUCCAAUGGAACCAGGCCCAGGGGGUGACCCCAGGCGGGCUCA
This is a long non-coding RNA of Numida meleagris (helmeted guineafowl), 662 nucleotides long. The record is from Ensembl. Lineage: Eukaryota; Metazoa; Chordata; Aves; Galliformes; Numididae.